RNAcentral lists this long non-coding RNA (292 nucleotides) under Homo sapiens (human). RNAcentral describes it as "lncAB225.1". Lineage: Eukaryota; Metazoa; Chordata; Mammalia; Primates; Hominidae. The record is from RNAcentral.
AUUGAUGUGGAGAAAACACCUUUCCCUUCUAGUUUUGAGAGACUUCCUCUUGGCUCCCAGGAGGAGGGAUUCCCUGACUUUGACACACAUGGCCACCUUGGCACAAAAGCCUUGUGGUAUAGAAAAACAAAUUUGUUUUUAUGUCCUCUUCUCCCUUUCCAUCUUUCAGCAUAGACUUAACUCCCUUAAGCCCAGACAUCUGUUGGGACCUGACCCCUAGUCAUUGGUUACCAGUGUGUCAGGCAAUCUGGACUUUCCAGUGAUGCCACUGAGAUGGCACCUGUCAAAAGAG